UGUAGAUCACAACAUCAGCCU
This 21-nucleotide non-coding RNA is filed under the name Arabidopsis thaliana (thale cress). Lineage: Eukaryota; Viridiplantae; Streptophyta; Magnoliopsida; Brassicales; Brassicaceae. The record is from RNAcentral.